UGUUCAAAAAGAUGUUACCUUCGUAUAUCCUUAGGAAUAAGGCCUAAGAGUCUCUACCGGGUCGCCGUAAAUGACCUGACUAUGAAGGCAGGAGCUUUAUAG
This 102-nucleotide non-coding RNA is filed under the name Anaerobacillus arseniciselenatis. RNAcentral's name for it is "Guanine sequence". It matches the Rfam family "Purine riboswitch aptamer". Rfam says of the family: Riboswitches are metabolite binding domains within certain messenger RNAs that serve as precision sensors for their corresponding targets. Allosteric rearrangement of mRNA structure is mediated by ligand binding, and this results in modulation of gene expression. The record is from Rfam by way of RNAcentral. Lineage: Bacteria; Bacillati; Bacillota; Bacilli; Caryophanales; Bacillaceae.